AGGUACAGAGGGAUGCUACCGGGCGACCGGAUGCGGAUCUCGAAAGCCUGUCCCAGUUCGGACUGGAGUCUGCAACCCGACUCCACGAAGUUGGAUUCGCUAGUAAUCGCGCAUCAGCCAUGGCGCGGUGAAUACGUUCCCGGGCCUUGUACACACCGCCCGUCAAGCCAUGGGAGCCGGGGGCGCCUGAAGUCCGGGACCGCGAGGACCGGCCUAGGGCGAAACUGGUAACUGGGGCUAAGUCGUAACAAGGUAAC
This 257-nucleotide ribosomal RNA is filed under the name uncultured bacterium. Its description in RNAcentral is "partial 16S ribosomal RNA". It matches the Rfam family "Bacterial small subunit ribosomal RNA", at positions 1235 to 1500 of the family's 1533-position model. The record is from RNAcentral.